RNAcentral lists this ribosomal RNA (325 nucleotides) under uncultured Inocybe. Its description in RNAcentral is "eukaryotic LSU rRNA". The stretch from base 1 to 71 matches the Rfam family "5.8S ribosomal RNA", at positions 84 to 154 of the family's 154-position model. The record is from RNAcentral. Lineage: Eukaryota; Fungi; Basidiomycota; Agaricomycetes; Agaricales; Cortinariaceae.
GUGAGUCAUCGAAUCUUUGAACGCAUCUUGCGCUCCUUGGUAUUCCGAGGAGCAUGCCUGUUUGAGUGUCAUCAAGUUUUCAACCGCACCAGGUUUAUUCCUGGUGUGGCUUGGAUUUGGGGGGGUUUUUUGCAGGCUUCCAAGUCGGCUCCCCUGAAAAGCAUUAGUGGUAUCUGAGCAGAAAGACCACCUUGAGCAUGAUAAAUAACUAUGCCACUGGUGUGUGUCUGAUGCAAGCUGCUUUCCAACCCUUGCGCAUUUGACAAAUUUGACCUCAAAUCAGGUAGGACUACCCGCUGAACUUAAGCAUAUCAAUAAGCGGAGG